UACAGAGGGUGCGAGCGUUAAUCGGAAUUACUGGGCGUAAAGCGCGCGUAGGCGGCUUGUUAAGUCAAAUGUGAAAUCCCCGAGCUUAACUUGGGCAUUGCAUUCGAUACUGGCAAGCUAGAGUAUGGGAGAGGAAGGUAGAAUUCCAGGUGUAGCGGUGAAAUGCGUAGAGAUCUGGAGGAAUACCGAUGGCGAAGGCAGCCUUCUGGCCUAAUACUGACGCUGAGGUGCGAAAGCAUGGGGAGCAAACAGG
Molecule: ribosomal RNA, 253 nt
Filed under: uncultured bacterium
Lineage: Bacteria
Also listed under: 1 other name
Description: partial 16S ribosomal RNA
Rfam family: Bacterial small subunit ribosomal RNA
Source: RNAcentral